RNAcentral lists this ribosomal RNA (613 nucleotides) under uncultured bacterium. Its description in RNAcentral is "bacterial SSU rRNA". It matches the Rfam family "Bacterial small subunit ribosomal RNA", at positions 58 to 677 of the family's 1533-position model. The record is from RNAcentral.
CAAGUCGAGCGUGCCCGUGGCUUCGGCCACAAUGGGAAGGCGGCAGACGGCUGAGUAACGCGUGAGUAACCUGCCCUCUGGUGGGGUAUAGCCUCGAGAAAUUGAGGUUAAUCCCGCAUAAGACCCCUAAAACCCUGGUUUGGGGAUGAAAGGCCUGAUUCGUUGGGUCGCCGGAGGAGGGGCUCGCGUCCUAUCAGGUAGUUGGUGGGGUAAUGGCCUACCAAGCCGAUGACGGGUAGCUGGUCUGAGAGGAUGACCAGCCAGAGGGGGACUGAGACACGGCCCCCACUCCUACGGGAGGCAGCAGCAGGGAAUCUUGGGCAAUGGGCGAAAGCCUGACCCAGCGACGUCGCGUGGGGGAAGAAGGCCCUAGGGCUGUAAACCCCUUUUCUAAGGGAAGAGUAAGGACGGUACCUUGGGAAUAAGCCCCGGCUAACUACGUGCCAGCAGCCGCGGUAAUACGUAGGGGGCGAGCGUUACCCGGAAUCACUGGGCGUAAAGAGCGCGUAGGCGGCUGAGUAAGUCUCUUGUGAAAGCUCCCGGCUUAACUGGGAGAGGUCAAGGGAAACUACUCGACUAGAGGGCAGUAAAGGAAGGCGGAAUUCCCGGUGUA